GACGAACGCUGGCGGCGUGCUUAACACAUGCAAGUCGAACGGUGAUAGCGGAGCUUGCUCCGCUGGAUCAGUGGCGAACGGGUGAGUAACACGUGGGCAACCUGCCCCAGACUUCGGGAUAACUCUUCGAAAGAGGUGCUAAUACCGGAUACGAACUCUGCAGGCAUCUGUGGAGUUGGAAUGUUUUUCGGUCUGGGAUGGGCCCGCGGCCUAUCAGCUAGUUGGUGAGGUAGUGGCUCACCAAGGCGACGACGGGUAGCCGGCCUGAGAGGGCGACCGGCCACACUGGGACUGAGACACGGCCCAG
RNAcentral lists this ribosomal RNA (307 nucleotides) under uncultured bacterium. Its description in RNAcentral is "bacterial SSU rRNA". It matches the Rfam family "Bacterial small subunit ribosomal RNA", at positions 28 to 334 of the family's 1533-position model. The record is from RNAcentral.